GAACGCGAAAGCCCCGCAAGGGGCAAGUAGAGUGGCAAACGGGUGAGUAACACGUGGGUGACCUGCCUUCGAGCGGGGGAUAACGUCCCGAAAGGGACGCUAAUACCGCAUAACAUCCUGCCUUUGAAGAGGUGGAGAUCAAAGCUGGGGAUCGCAAGACCCGGCACUUGAAGAGGGGCCCGCGUCUGAUUAGCUAGUUGGUGGGGUAACGGCCUACCAAGGCAACGAUCAGUAUCCGGCCUGAGAGGGCGGACGGACACACUGGGACUGAGACACGGCCCAGACUCCUACGGGAGGCAGCAGUGGGGAAUUGUUCGCAAUGGGCGCAAGCCUGACGACGCAACGCCGCGUGGAGGAUGAAGAUUUUCGGAUCGUAAACUCCUGUCGAAUGGGACGAACAGAUUGCGGGUUAACAGCCCGUAGUCCUGACGGUACCGUUAAAGGAAACCCCGGCUAACUCCGUGCCAGCAGCCGCGGUAAUACGGGGGGGGUAAGCGUUGUUCGGAAUUACUGGGCGUAAAGGGCUCGUAGGCGGCCAACUAAGUCAUACGUGAAAUCCCUCAGCUUAACUGGGGAACUGCGUGUGAUACUGGAUGGCUUGGAUUUGGGAGAGGGAUGCGGAAUUCCAGGUGUAGCGGUGAAAUGCGUAGAUUUCUGGAGGAACACCGGGUGGCGAAGGCGGCAUCCUGGACCAUAUUGACGCUGAGGAGCGAAAGCUAGGGGAGCAACGGGGAUUAGAU
RNAcentral lists this ribosomal RNA (740 nucleotides) under uncultured Bacillota bacterium. RNAcentral describes it as "bacterial SSU rRNA". It matches the Rfam family "Bacterial small subunit ribosomal RNA", at positions 64 to 783 of the family's 1533-position model. Lineage: Bacteria; Bacillati; Bacillota. The record is from RNAcentral.